UACGAAGGGUGCAAGCGUUACUCGGAAUUACUGGGCGUAAAGCGUGCGUAGGUGGUUCGUUAAGUCUGAUGUGAAAGCCCUGGGCUCAACCUGGGAAUGGCAUUGGAAACUGGCGACCUAGAGUGCGGUAGAGGGUAGUGGAAUUCCCGGUGUAGCAGUGAAAUGCGUAGAGAUCGGGAGGAACAUCUGUGGCGAAGGCGACUGCCUGGGCCAGCACUGACACUGAGGCACGAAAGCGUGGGGAGCAAACAGG
This 253-nucleotide ribosomal RNA is filed under the name uncultured bacterium. Its description in RNAcentral is "partial 16S ribosomal RNA". It matches the Rfam family "Bacterial small subunit ribosomal RNA", at positions 524 to 776 of the family's 1533-position model. The record is from RNAcentral.